Molecule: ribosomal RNA, 506 nt
Filed under: uncultured bacterium
Lineage: Bacteria
Description: partial 16S ribosomal RNA
Rfam family: Bacterial small subunit ribosomal RNA
Source: RNAcentral
AGUGAACGCUGGCGGUAGGCCUAACACAUGCAAGUCGAACGGCAGCACAGGAGAGCUUGCUCUCUGGGUGGCGAGUGGCGGACGGGUGAGGAAUACAUCGGAAUCUACUCUGUCGUGGGGGAUAACGUAGGGAAACUUACGCUAAUACCGCAUACGACCUACGGGUGAAAGCAGGGGACCUUCGGGCCUUGCGCGAUUGAAUGAGCCGAUGUCGGAUUAGCUAGUUGGCGGGGUAAAGGCCCACCAAGGCGACGAUCCGUAGCUGGUCUGAGAGGAUGAUCAGCCACACUGGAACUGAGACACGGUCCAGACUCCUACGGGAGGCAGCAGUGGGGAAUAUUGGACAAUGGGCGCAAGCCUGAUCCAGCCAUACCGCGUGGGUGAAGAAGGCCUUCGGGUUGUAAAGCCCUUUUGUUGGGAAAGAAAUCCAGCUGGCUAAUACCCGGUUAGGAUGACGGUACCCAAAGAAUAAGCACCGGCUAACUUCGUGCCAGCCGCCGCCGCCG